CCUACGGGUCGCACCAGUGGGGAAUAUUGCACAAUGGGCGCAAGCCUGAUGCAGCCAUGCCGCGUGUAUGAAGAAGGCCUUCGGGUUGUAAAGUACUUUCAGCGGGGAGGAAGGUGUUGAGGUUGAUAACCUCAGCAAUUGACGUUACCCGCAGAAGAAGCACCGGCUAACUCCGUGCCAGCAGCCGCGGUAAUACGGAGGGUGCAAGCGUUAAUCGGAAUUACUGGGCGUAAAGCGCACGCAGGCGGUCUGUCAAGUCGGAUGUGAAAUCCCCGGGCUCAACCUGGGAAUUGCAUUUGAAACUGGCAGGCUAGAGUCUUGUAGAGGGGGGUAGAAUUUCAGGUGUAGCGGUGAAAUGCGUAGAGAUCUGAAGGAAUACCAGUGGCGAAGGCGGCCCCCUGGACAAAGACUGACGCUCAGAUGCGAAAGCGUGGGGAGCAAACAGGAUUAGAUACCCGGGUAGUC
Molecule: ribosomal RNA, 465 nt
Filed under: uncultured bacterium
Lineage: Bacteria
Description: bacterial SSU rRNA
Rfam family: Bacterial small subunit ribosomal RNA
Source: RNAcentral